Molecule: unclassified non-coding RNA, 467 nt
Filed under: Melitaea cinxia (Glanville fritillary)
Lineage: Eukaryota; Metazoa; Arthropoda; Insecta; Lepidoptera; Nymphalidae
Description: misc RNA ENSMCXG00005012877.1
Source: RNAcentral
UUUUGAUAUUUUGUUGAUGGCAACCAUGUGUGGAGGAAUUAUUUAACUAAGACACUAAGCAGUUUUUACAUAAAGUACUACUAAUAGUGGAAAAGCAAUUCUACAUUAUUUUUCUUUUGUAAUUUUUUUUUUUGUGUAAUGUUACUAAAAAUAACUUCCAUAGUUUAUAAGUAAAUAUUGUUACUGACACACUAAUAUAUCUAAUAUUAAUCUGAAAUAAACUUUAUUAUGUGCCCUGGACACUGGAGCGGACUGUAACCUUUCUCGCCUUAUUACUAACCACACGAGAGUACUAAAAUAUAUACGGUCGAAUUGAGUAACCUCCUCCUUUUUUGAAUCGGUUAAAAAGAGAGUCACAUAUUCUACAUCAGGGGGGUUUAGGAAUUAAAUCCUAUUCAUAUUCCCUUGUCUGCCACUCUUGCAAAUCCUAUUUCGGGUGCGAUCAGCCGGUGCUCGAGUCGGACAUA